AGAGUUUGAUCCUGGCUCAGAACGAACGCUGGCGGCGUGCUUAACACAUGCAAGUCGAACGAGAAUCGGGGCUUGCUCCGAGGAUAGUGGCGCACGGGUGAGUAACGCGUGGAUAACCUGCCCUGGUAUCUGGGAUAACAUCUCGAAAGGGGUGCUAAUACCGGAUAAGCCCACGGGAACUUUGGUUCUUGCGGGAAAAGGUGGCCUCUGAAUAUGCUACUGUAUCAGGAUGGGUCCGCGUACCAUUAGCUAGUUGGUGGUGUAAUGGACUACCAAGGCGACGAUGGUUAGCUGGUCUGAGAGGAUGAUCAGCCACACUGGAACUGAGACACGGUCCAGACUCCUACGGGAGGCAGCAGUGGGG
RNAcentral lists this ribosomal RNA (364 nucleotides) under uncultured bacterium. RNAcentral describes it as "bacterial SSU rRNA". It matches the Rfam family "Bacterial small subunit ribosomal RNA", at positions 8 to 359 of the family's 1533-position model. The record is from RNAcentral.